RNAcentral lists this ribosomal RNA (2625 nucleotides) under Paracoccidioides brasiliensis. Its description in RNAcentral is "LSU rRNA". It matches the Rfam family "Bacterial large subunit ribosomal RNA". Lineage: Eukaryota; Fungi; Ascomycota; Eurotiomycetes; Onygenales; Ajellomycetaceae. The record is from RNAcentral.
AACGGAGUGAAUUGAAAUAUCUUAGUAACUUCAGAUAAAAUAAAUCAAACGAGAUUUAAAUAGAGAUCUAUUUAAUGAAGCUUAAAAGUAAAAUGGUUAAUAACUGUUUGAAUAAAAGGGGAACCUUCCUCUAAAGCUAAAUAUAAUAUAUAAGCGAUAGUAAAAAGUACCGUGAGGUAAAGAUAGAAAUAGUAAUUUUAUAAGCAGCUCUGAAAGAAAUUUAAAUAGAUAAUUAGAGCGAACCUUUUGCAUAAUGGGUCAGCAAGUUAAGUUUAGAUGCAAGCAAAUAAAAUAAAAUAAAAUAAAAUAUUUGCCUAGAUAAACCAAUUAUUAAAUAAUGAAAAGUAUCUAGAUUUAGACCCGAAGACUAGUGAUCUUACCAUGAUCAGGAUUAUAAAAGUCCGAACGGGUUAUCGUUGUAAAGAUAUCCGAAGAAUUGUGGUAAGUUGGUGAAAGACAAAACUGACUAGUAUAGCUGGUUUUCCGCGAAACCUAUGUGAGUAGGUAAUUUAAUUAACAUCUUAGCAGGUACAGAAUUAAGAUCUCGGACAAAUUUUAUUUUUUGUCAAUAUCGGGGAAUCGUAAUGAUUUUAUCGGAGAGUAUUUGCACUCGAAAGGGCAAAGAUGAAUGUUAAAUAAUCGGACAUAGUACGAGAAGGUUGUAUGUCUAAAGGGAAACAGCCCAGAACAAGAGUAAUAAGGUUCCUAAAUUAUUAUUAAGUGAAAUAAAGGAUAUAAAUAUAUAAUACAACCAGGAAAUAGGCUUAGAAGCGGUCAUUUUUUAAAGAUCUCGUAAUAGAGCACUGGUUAAUUUAUUCUUUAAUAUAUAGAUACCUAAAAUUUAACGGAUCUAAAUAAUAUACCGAAACCUUGUACAUAUUUAAAUUAAUUUAAAUAUGAGAUAGCGGAACAUUGGAUAAAAUAGUAGAGAUAUAAAUAAAUUAUAUUAUAUUUAAUUAAUCUAAGAAUCCAAGAGAGAAUGCUGACAUGAGUAACGAAAAAGGAUUAUAAAUAAUAUCCUCGCCUUAAGCUUAUGGUAUUUGAGUUAAAUUUCGGUUUCUAAGUGAUAAUCUAAGGAUUUAAUUAUGAUGAAAAAAAAAAGAAAUAAAGUACAAAACCUUUAUCAAGUGUUAAAGGUUCAGGAAAUAAUUUUAUAAAAAGAAUUAAAACCGUACCUAGAUACUAACACAAGUAAGCGAGUAGAAUAUACGAAGGCGUUUGAGUGAACAAUCAUUAAGGAACUCGGCAAAAUAGCUCCGUAACUUAGGAAGAAGGAGAGCCCUUAUUAUAGAAAUAUUAUAUUUUAAUAUAAUAAAAUUUCGAAUAAAAUAAGAGGAAACAUUAAAAAGUAUUGUGCGACUGUUUAAUUAAAACAAAUCACUCUGCAAAGAUACUAGAAUCUAAGUAUUGAGUGUGAUGUCUGCCCAAUGUCGGUUGAAUAAUUGAGAUAUUUAAUUUAAAGAUUAGGUAUUUAAGGACACACCGAUUAAUGGCGGCUUUAUCUAUAAGAGUCCUAAGGUAGCGGAAUACCCUGGCCGUUAAAUGCGGUCUUGCAUGAAUGACUUAACGAUACAAUAACUGUCUCGAUGAUUGGCUCAGUGAAAUUGGAAUAGCAGUGCAGAUACUGCUUAACUCUAGAUAGACGAGAAGACCCUAUGCAGCUUUACUGUUACCUUUCAUGAAUAAAAUAAGUCAAUUAUUAGUGUAUAAGGUAAUUGUAAGAUAAAAUUGAAACACCUUUAUUUAAACUAUUUUAUUCUUUAUGACUGGAAGACAGUUUAUGCGGGGCACAGAUCCCAUAAAAAGUACCUGGGUAUAUCCAAAGUUAAUAAUGUAAUUAUGUAAUAUUUAUAUAUUAUAAUGAUUAUUUGAAUAAUUAAAUAAAAUUAUUCAUUCAUUAAUUAAUAUUUUAUUAAAUAUAUAAUUUAUAUUAAUUCAAUUAAUAUAGUUUUAAAUACGAAUAAAUAAAUUCUAAGUAAGAUUUUAACUAUCUGGUAAAUAGAUGUAUAUUACAUAUAAUAAAUUAUUAAUUUAUUAUAUAAAAUUCUUUUAAUAAUGUAUAUUUUAAUCCUUAUUAAAAGAAUAAUUAUUUUUACUAAAAAAGUUUAAUGGCUUAAUCUUGCUUUACUGUUGGACUUACCAGUCUAUCAGUCGCGUAAGCGGGGCAUAUGAUCACAAGAUGCAGAAAGGAAAGGUCUUGGAUUAAAGAAAAAGUUACGCUAGGGAUAACAGGCUAAUUUGCGCAAGAGAGUACAAAUUGAGUGCGCGGUUUGGCACCUCGAUGUCGGCUUAGCUCAUCCACAUGAAUGUAGAAAUCAUGAAGGGUACGACUGUUCGUCGGUUAAAGAGCUACACGAGCUGGGUUUAAUACGUCGUGAGACAGUAUGGUUUCUAUCUUCUAGAGAUAAUUAGAGUAAAAGAUAAAUAGCUCCUUCGUACGAAAGGAGUUGGAGAUGCUGAUCUAUGGUUUACCUGUUGUUUAAUUUUAUUUUACUACUUUCACUUAAGUAGAUUUAGUGAUUAGGCAUGGCAGGAAAGCUAAGUCAGUUAAAGAUAAGUGCUGAAUGCAUUUAAGCACGAAGCUUAUUAUAUUAUACUCUUAUAAAUGUAAUAGAUUAUUACAUA